UACGUAGGGUGCAAGCGUUACUCGGAAUUACUGGGCGUAAAGCGUGCGCAGGCGGUUUUGUAAGUCAGAUGUGAAAUCCCCGGGCUUAACCUGGGAACUGCGUUUGAAACUACAAGGCUAGAGUGUGGCAGAGGGGGGUGGAAUUCCACGUGUAGCAGUGAAAUGCGUAGAGAUGUGGAGGAAUACCGAUGGCGAAGGCAGCCCCCUGGGCCAAUACUGACGCUCAUGCACGAAAGCGUGGGGAGCAAACAGG
Molecule: ribosomal RNA, 253 nt
Filed under: uncultured bacterium
Lineage: Bacteria
Description: partial 16S ribosomal RNA
Rfam family: Bacterial small subunit ribosomal RNA
Source: RNAcentral